GGCGCUGUGGCUCAAAGGAGUAGGGCGCCAGCCCCAUGUGCCGGAGGUAGCAGGUUCAAACCCAGCCGUGGCCA
RNAcentral lists this transfer RNA (74 nucleotides) under Otolemur garnettii (small-eared galago). It matches the Rfam family "tRNA". From Rfam's summary of the family: Transfer RNA (tRNA) molecules are approximately 80 nucleotides in length. Their secondary structure includes four short double-helical elements and three loops (D, anti-codon, and T loops). Lineage: Eukaryota; Metazoa; Chordata; Mammalia; Primates; Galagidae. The record is from Rfam by way of RNAcentral.